AUUAGAAAGGGCUACCGCUUCGGGGUAACGAGUGGCGUAAUCCACCACGGUAAGGAUAUAGCGCUUACCGGAGCGGCUAGGCUGGGCCAGGGGUCCUAUGAGGUCUACGGCUACUCUCGUGAAAGGUUCUUCUAUUAUGGGCAUAGAAACCAGUUUGGCUUUCGGGUGGUCUCCCUUUUUACCUAUCCUUUGACAUACCUCGC
This is a non-coding RNA of Pelobates cultripes (western spadefoot toad), 203 nucleotides long. NCBI's taxonomy places the organism in Eukaryota, Metazoa, Chordata, Amphibia, Anura, Pelobatidae. The record is from the annotation of a GenBank genome assembly.